UGGAAGAAAUUAUGUAUACCUAUGACAUUUGAGGACUUAUCCUUUUCUGGACAUCCUAAGUCUGAAUCGUCAAAUCAAAUACAGCAGUGAGCCAGUGAUAGCAAUUGCAAAUGUAAGGACCUUGGACGUCCCUCUGGAGAUGUUUAUAGACUCACCAAUUCUCAAGGCAGCGUCUGGGCUGAAGAGAGAAAAAAAUACUGGACCAGUUGACUAGGAGAAGUGAAAGAGAC
RNAcentral lists this long non-coding RNA (230 nucleotides) under Homo sapiens (human). RNAcentral's name for it is "HSALNT0052004". The record is from RNAcentral. Lineage: Eukaryota; Metazoa; Chordata; Mammalia; Primates; Hominidae.